RNAcentral lists this ribosomal RNA (2743 nucleotides) under Escherichia coli. RNAcentral describes it as "bacterial LSU rRNA". It matches the Rfam family "Bacterial large subunit ribosomal RNA". The record is from RNAcentral. Lineage: Bacteria; Pseudomonadati; Pseudomonadota; Gammaproteobacteria; Enterobacterales; Enterobacteriaceae.
AGCGUACACGGUGGAUGCCCUGGCAGUCAGAGGCGAUGAAGGACGUGCUAUCUGCGAUAAGCGUCGGUAAGGUGAUAUGAACCGUUAUAACCGGCGAUUUCCGAAUGGGAAACCCAGUGUGAUUCGUCACACUAUCAUUAACUGAAUCCAUAGGUUAAUGAGGCGAACGGGGGAACUGAAACAUCUAAGUACCCCGAGGAAAAGAAAUCAACCGAGAUUCCCCCAGUGCGGCGAGCGAACGGGGAGCAGCCCAGAGCCUGAAUCAGUGUGUGUGUUAGUGGAAGCGCUGGAAAGGCGCGCGAUACAGGGUGACAGCCCCGUACACAAAAAUGCACAUGCUGUGAGUCGAUGAGUAGGGCGGGACACGUGGUAUCCUGUCUGAAUAUGGGGGGACCAUCCUCCAAGCUAAAUACUCCUGACUGACCGAUAGUGAACCAGUACCGUGAGGGAAAGGCGAAAAGAACCCGGCGAGGGGAGUGAAAAAGAACCUGAAACCGUGUACGUACAAGCAGUGGGAGCACAAGCAAUCUGUGUGACUGCGUACCUUUUGUAUAAUGGGUCAGCGACUUAUAUUCUGUAGCAGGUUAACCGAAUAGGGGAGCCGAAGGGAAACCGAGUCUUAACUGGGCGUUAAGUUGCAGGUAUAGACCCGAAACCCGGUGAUCUAGCCAUGGGCAGGUUGAAGGUUGGGUAACACUACUGGAGGACCGAACCGACUAAUGUUGAAAAAUUAGCGGAUGACUUGUGGCUGGGGGUGAAGGCCAAUCAAACCGGGAGAUAGCUGGUUCUCCCCGAAAGCUAUUUAGGUAGCGCCUCGGAAUUCAUCUCCGGGGGUAGAGCACUGUUUCGGCAAGGGGGUCAUCCCGACUUACCAACCGAUGCAAACUGCGAAUACCGGAGAAUGUUAUCACGGGAGACACACGGCGGGUGCUAACUCCGUCGUGAAGAGGGAAACAACCCAGACCGCCAGCUAAGGUCCCAAAGUCAUGGUUAAUGGGAAACGAUGUGGGAAGGCCCAGACAGCCAGGAUGUUGGCUUAGAAGCAGCCAUCAUUAAAGAAAGCGUAAUAGCUCACUGGUCGAGUCGGCCUGCGCGGAAGAUGUAACGGGGCUAACCAUGCACCGAAGCUGCGGCAGCGACGCUUAUGCGUUGUUGGGUAGGGGAGCGUUCUUAAGCCUGUGAAGGUGUACUGUGAGGUAUGCUGGAGGUAUCAGAAGUGCGAAUGCUGACUAAGUAACGAUAAAGCGGGUGAAAAGCCCGCUCGCCGGAAGACCAAGGGUUCCUGUCCACGUUAAUCGGGGCAGGGUGAGUCGACCCCUAAGGCGAGGCCGAAAGGCGUAGUCGAUGGAAACAGGUUAAUAUUCCUGUACUUGGUGUUACUGCGAAGGGGGGACGGAGAAGGCUAUGUGGCCGGGCGACGGUUGUCCCGGUUUAAGCGUGUAGGCUGGUUUUCCAGGCAAAUCCGGAAACUAAGGCUGAGGCGUGAUGACGAGGCACUACGGUGCUGAAGCAACAAAUGCCCUGCUCCAGGAAAAGCCUCUAAGCAUCAGGUAACAUCAAAUCGUACCCCAAACCGACACAGGUGUCAGGUAGAGAAUACCAAGGCGCUUGAGAGAACUCGGGUGAAGGAACUAGGCAAAAUGUGCCGUAACUUCGGGAGAAGGCACGCUGAUAUGUAGGUGAAGUCCCUCGCGGAUGGAGCGAAAUCAGUCGAAGAUACCAGCUGGCUGCAACUGUUUAUUAAAAACACAGCACUGUGCAACACGAAAGUGGACGUAUACGGUGUGACGCCUGCCCGGUGCCGGAAGGUUAAUUGAUGGGUUAGCGCAAGCGAAGCUCUUGAUCGAAGCCCCGGUAAACGGCGGCCGUAACUAUAACGUCCUAAGGUAGCGAAAUUCCUUGUCGGGUAAGUUCCGACCUGCACGAAUGGCGUAAUGAGGCCAGGCUGUCUCCACCCGAGACUCAGUGAAAUUGAACUCGCUGUGAAGAUGCAGUGUCCCGCGGCAAGACGGAAAGACCCCGUGAACCUUUACUAUAGCUUGACACUGAACAUUGACCUUGAUGUGUAGGAUAGGUGGGAGGCUUUGAAGUGUGGACGCCAGUCUGCAUGGAGCCACCUUGAAAUACCACCCUUUAAUGUUUGAUGUUCUAACGUUGACCCGUAAUCCGGGUUGGGACAGUGUCUGGUGGGUAGUUUGACUGGGGCGGUCUCCUCCUAAAGAGUAACGGAGGACACGAAGGUUGGCUAAUCCUGGUCGGACAUCAGGAGGUUAGUGCAAUGGCAUAAGCCAGUUGACUGCGAGCGUGACGGCGCGAGCAGGUGCGAAAGCAGGUCAUAGUGAUCCGGUGGUCUGAAUGGAAGGGCCAUCGCUCAACGGAUAAAAGGUACUCCGGGGAUAACAGGCUGAUACGCCCAAGAGUUCAUAUCGACGGCGGUGUUUGGCACCUCGAUGUCGGCUCAUCACAUCCGGGGCUGAAGUAGGUCCCAAGGGUAUGGCUGUUCGCCAUUUAAAGUGGUACGCGAGCUGGUUUAGAACGUCGUGAGACAGUUCGGUCCCUAUCUGCCGUGGGCGCUGGAGAACUGAGGGGGCUGCUCCUAGUACGAGAGGACCGGAGUGGACGCAUCACUGGUGUUCGGGUUGUCAUCCAAUGGCACUGCCCGGUAGCUAAAUGCGGAAGAGAUAAGUGCUGAAAGCAUCUAAGCAGAAACUUGCCCCGAGAUGAGUUCUCCCUGACUCCUUGA